RNAcentral lists this ribosomal RNA (514 nucleotides) under uncultured bacterium. Its description in RNAcentral is "partial 16S ribosomal RNA". It matches the Rfam family "Bacterial small subunit ribosomal RNA", at positions 28 to 523 of the family's 1533-position model. The record is from RNAcentral.
GACGAACGCUGGCGGCGUGCCUAAUACAUGCAAGUCGAGCGGAUGACGGAGGAGCUUGCUCCUCCUGAUUCAGCGGCGGACGGGUGAGUAACACGUGGGCAACCUGCCCUGUAGAUUGGGAUAACUCCGGGAAACCGGGGCUAAUACCGAAUAAUCCUUCGGACCUCAUGGUACGAAGUUGAAAGACGGUUUCGGCUGUCACUACAGGAUGGGCCCGCGGCGCAUUAGCUAGUUGGUGAGGUAACGGCUCACCAAGGCCACGAUGCGUAGCCGACCUGAGAGGGUGAUCGGCCACACUGGGACUGAGACACGGCCCAGACUCCUACGGGAGGCAGCAGUAGGGAAUCUUCCACAAUGGACGAAAGUCUGAUGGAGCAACGCCGCGUGAGUGAAGAAGGUUCUCGGAUCGUAAAACUCUGUUGUGAGGGAAGAACAAGUACCGGAGUAACUGCCGGUGCCUUGACGGUACCUCAUUAGAAAGCCACGGCUAACUACGUGCCAGCCGCCGCCGUAA